GGAGGAUGCUGCGAGGCGUUGCCAGCGGAGGGAACCUGCCGCCGCCUCGUCCCCCUCCACCCUCGGAGCCCGGCCGGGGAGUCGGGCCCGGGCCGGGGAGGAGGAAGUUGCGGCCCAGCUGGGACAGCAGCAGGUGGGAAGCUCCGCGCCCGGCUGUUGCGGCUGCCUGAUUGCAGCCUGGCCUUGGGCAAAGCUUCCUACUCCGUCUGGAGCCCCACACACUUCCCGGUUCCCCCGCUCUUGGGCCGCUUGCCCUGCGUGCUCCUCGAGGGGCCUGCGAGGUGCCAGCGCCGGGUAGAGACCUUUGCCGCAGGGGCAGGAUUGUUCGUCGGUCCCGGCGCGUCUCCCUCUCCACUCCCUCUCUGCCGGAGCCCCUCGGCCCUUCGAAGCCCCCCGCGGAGGCUGCAGCGCCCGGAGAAGCCACUGAGUCAAUGGGGCGAGGGACUGGGGCGGGCGCGCAGAGCCCCCAGGAUUGAGACGCGCGCAAGUGCGGCCACUGCAGCGCCGCUUGGCUGUUUGUUCUCCCGACUGUUCGCGAAUUACUUACAAGGCGCCUAGGCUUCUCCGAAGGGUGGACGGCUCGUUCCCUCUCGCCUUGUCCGCCCUCAGUCUCUCCACCACCGCCCGGCACGCUUUGCUGAUCUAAAAUCAGAACAAUUAGAGAGUAAUGAUUUUUUUUGGAAUAGCAACUCCUACAGACACUCAGAUCUGCCCUCGCUUCAGCGCCUCCCAGCCCUCCUUCCCAGCAGCCAGGCGAGAGCGCGCAGACCCCUAAAAAGCAACUUCAGUGUUAACCGGGUCUGGAUCCUGGAACUUUAUAAACUAAUCCGUGUGUGUGUGUGUGUGUGUGUGUGUAAACCGAAGAGUAAGUGCCUAUUAUUUCUGAGUACUUCGGUGUCCUAACGAAGCUUUGCUCCUAAAGGACAGGAUAUAUUUUAGGAGUCUUUCUUUCCACUGAGUUUUUUAAAUGUUUAUUUUCUCGAGCGAUCAAAUGUGUCUUUUGUGCAGUUUAUUUAAACCUCGUAAGGCCUCCUUGAGUCGCUGAACUAAUUCAGCAAACUAGCUGGUAUUGUGGACGGCGCAGUCGGGGUGGAUUUUUGUGUGUAGGAGAGGUGAAACUGACAAUUCAAGGAAAGGUUCUGUGCGAGUCCCCACCUCCCAUCCUCAUAUCCACACGUGGCCCCUAGGAGGUGCUGGUGAAAUAUGCUUGCUUAGGUUUCGCAGAUCCGCACUUACUCCUGCCUUAACAAGUGUGCCUUUUUUCUUAGCACUGAGCAAGGUACUUAAAUUAAAAGGGUGUGCAAGAGAUGAUGCACUCGGUGUGGCUGCUCUGAUAGCCAAAUGGCGAUGUGGUCCCAGUUAAUGUGUUGAGAUUAUACUGUUCACCAAGCCCUGUUACGAACUCUGUUGCCAUGCACGUGGGAAUAAUGCCUGCCCCAAGGGAGGUCUUCUUUAACAUCUAUUUAGUCAUGUGUUAUUUAUAAACAGCUUGAAUUAAUACUGUAAAAUAGACGGAUGUCUAAGAAUCUAGGCUGUAGCCUAAAGCUAAAUGAACCUGAGGGUAGACAAGUUCACUCUGUAUUAACCAAAGGAUAAUGAAUGAGUUCACCGCUCAGUUCAAUAAGCUUCUUCUGAAAUAUGCUUCCUCCUGGACUUCUAAGAAACAGGCCAAAAGUUUAAUUAUCCCUUAAAACAUGUUAAGCCUAAAUAGAAAAAGGAAAUUAAUCAUUUAUAGAUUUUCUCUUCUUUAUUAUGAUUCAGUUGGUGCAUCUGUAGAUGGCUAAGAAUUUUCCAAACCACGUGAAUUCAGAGAGGCAACACUUUUGUUGUUGUUGUUUUUCCAGGUAAUGAGCUCGCUUUGAAAACCAGUCACUCGGAAAGGGAUGGCAUUUUUAUGCAACUUGGAUUGAAAUGGUUUUGCUUUAGUAUUCUACUCUAAUUAGAAAGAAUACACCACAGGCCGAAAUAGUUUCAUAUGAUAGGAAAAUCUUUAAAGAAAGGAACACAGAGUUAUUAGAUUAUGGUUGGCUGUAUAAAUUUAGCUGGGCAGCGGGAGGAAGGUCAUAAUAAAUGUAUCCUGCUCUCUCUCAUCAAUUAUCAGCAGCACAUCCCCCAACAUUCUCUCCUCCCAAAGACUGAAGGAUGUGCAGCAAAGCUUAGAUCUUGAAGGAGAAGGUUCGGGAAAAAUUAAUGAUUUUAAUUAGAACUUUCCAAUCUAAGUAGAAUCAUUACCUUAAUUAGCUAAAUAAGGAAGUAUGAAGGAUGAAAUUUUGCAAAUGAAAUUUUGUAAAUGUAUGGUAGCGUAGAAUACCCCCAUUGCUUCAUUUUAAAAAAAGAAAAUAUAAAUGCAUUUUAAUUAAUAAAUGACUUUUCAUCAUGUCCCUAUUAGGAAAAUUCUGUGUGCCAAUGCUUUCAGUGUUUGAUUUAAUACAUCUUUUGAAGUG
Molecule: long non-coding RNA, 2444 nt
Organism: Homo sapiens (human)
Lineage: Eukaryota; Metazoa; Chordata; Mammalia; Primates; Hominidae
Gene: KCNJ2-AS1
Product: KCNJ2 antisense RNA 1
Source: Ensembl